Molecule: small nucleolar RNA, 73 nt
Organism: Conger conger (European conger)
Lineage: Eukaryota; Metazoa; Chordata; Actinopteri; Anguilliformes; Congridae
Source: RefSeq, a predicted model, not a curated record
GGUGCAUAUGAUGUAUGUUAUUAGCGAUCAAAGCAUGACACGUUGUGAUUAGAAUUUGUACUACUGAUGCGCC